Molecule: long non-coding RNA, 863 nt
Filed under: Homo sapiens (human)
Lineage: Eukaryota; Metazoa; Chordata; Mammalia; Primates; Hominidae
Description: HSALNT0344306
Source: RNAcentral
GAUUUAAAAGAUAACCAGAAGCAGCAGAGAAAACAUCUGAAGUGCUUCCUGGACACACCUGUUAGGAAGUUUCUGCAAGAACCCAGGGAUUUCCUUCUUCCCAGACCUUGGGGCCUUCAUCUCCAGCCUCUCAGAAGGAAUAAAUUCUCAGAAAUACAGGAUCCACACACAUAGCCUGCCAGAAGCCUGUGCCACUGCGUAAGUGUGAGUGACUACGGAAGACAAGGUGGACUCCAAACCCGACGCUAUGAUCCACUCGAGCCUCGUCCAGGGAAUUUAUGGAGCACGUGGGACCUCCCUGCCAUCCAGAAGCACAGAGGAGGUGCGUCCCCACAACAAUGCCAGGAACACACAGCGGGGAAUUCUCUGACAUCGAGAGGCUUCCAGUGAGGGGCACUGGCUGCCCUGGAGGUGACAGAGACUCCACAUCAGCUACCUGCUGAGAUGGUGCUGGGAGCCUCGUGGAGCAGAGCAGCCGAUCCGAUCCAGGGUACCUGCUACAGGCCUGGCACCACCUGGUAGGUCAUUGCGGGAGGACUUGUUCAGGCUCUGAUGACCCUGUCAGACAGAGAGACAGAGAGUCCGAGAGAAACAGAGACACAGAGAAACAGAGAAGCAGAGACAGAGACAGACCAACGGAGGAAGAGAAAAAUACAGAGAGAGACAGAGAUAGAGAGAAGCAGAGACAGACCGAGAGAAAAAAAUACAGAGAGACAGGGACAGAGACAGAAUCAGAGUGAGACAGAGAGAACAAGGGAAAGACCCGGAGAGAGAAAUGCAGAGAAAGAAAGAGACAGAGACAGAGAGAUACAAAGAGACAGAGACAGAAAUAGAGAGACACGCGUGUCUCCCAGGCCGCCGUC